ACUCCUACGGGAGGCAGCAGUGGGGAAUCUUGGACAAUGGGCGCAAGCCUGAUCCAGCCAUGCCGCGUGAGCGAUGAAGGCCUUAGGGUCGUAAAACUCUUUCGCCAGGGAUGAUAAUGACAGUACCUGGUAAAGAAACCCCGGCUAACUCCGUGCCAGCAGCCGCGGUAAUACGGAGGGGGUUUAGCGUUUGUUUCGGAAUUACUGGGCGUAAAGCGCGCGUAGGCGGAUUAGUUAGUCAGAGGUGAAAUCCCGGGGCUCAACCCGGAACUGCCUUUGAUACUGCUAGUCUUGAGUUCGAGAGAGGUGAGUGGAAUUCCGAGUGUAGAGGUGAAAUUCGUAGAUAUUCGGAGGAACACCAGUGGCGAAGGCGGCUCACUGGCUCGAUACUGACGCUUGAGGUGCGAAAGUGUGGGGAGCAAACAGGAUUAGAUACCCUGGUAGCACAGAG
RNAcentral lists this ribosomal RNA (451 nucleotides) under uncultured bacterium. RNAcentral describes it as "bacterial SSU rRNA". It matches the Rfam family "Bacterial small subunit ribosomal RNA", at positions 335 to 800 of the family's 1533-position model. The record is from RNAcentral.